UCCCCGUCAAUUCAUUUGAGUUUUAACCUUGCGGUCGUAAUCCCCAGGCGGGGUGCUUAAUGCGUUAGCUGCGGCACGGAACCCGUGGAAGGGAUCCCACACCUAGCGCCCAACGUUUACGGCGUGGACUACCAGGGUAUCUAAUCCUGUUUGCUCCCCACGCUUUCGAGCCUCAGCGUCAGAAACGUUCCAGAGCGCCGCCUUCGCCACCGGCCUUCCUCCCGAUCUCUACGCAUUUCACCGCUACACCGGGAAUUCCGCGCUCCUCUCCCGUCCUCUAGCCCGGCAGUCCCCUCCGACUGUUCCAGGUUAAGCCUGGAGAUUUCACAGAGGGCUUACCGAACCGCCUACGCUCCCUGUACGCCCAGUAAAUCCGAACAACGCUUGCCACCUUCGUAUUACCGCGGCUGCUGGCACGAAGUUAGCCGUGGCUGCUUCUGGAGGUACCGUCCAAAUGGGUUACCCCAUUCCAUCUUCCCUCCCGAAAGGGGUUUACAAUCCGAAGACCUUCAUCCCCCACGCGGCGUCGCUGCGUCAGGCUUUCGCCCAUUGCGCAAUAUUCCUUACUGCUGCCUCCCGUAGGAGUCUGGCCCGUGUCGCAGUGCCAGUGUGGCUGAUCAUCCUCUCAGACCAGCUACGGAUCGUCGCCUUGGUGAGCCGUUACCUCACCAACAAGCUGAUAGGACAUGAGCCCAUCCAAGAGCGCGAGACCCACGGCCUCGCUUUCCUCCCUGAACCGAAGUCCAAGGAGCGUACGCGGUAUUAGCUAACCUUUCGGCUAGUUAUUCCCCACUCGAGGGUAGGUUACCCAUGUAUUCCUCACCCGUUCGCCGCUUUACAAACGUAUUGCUACGUCUUCUCGCUCGACUUCCAUGUAUUAGGCGCGCCGCCAGCGUUCGUUCUGAGCCAUGAUCAAACUCU
This 921-nucleotide ribosomal RNA is filed under the name uncultured bacterium. Its description in RNAcentral is "partial 16S ribosomal RNA". The record is from RNAcentral.